RNAcentral lists this ribosomal RNA (381 nucleotides) under uncultured bacterium. Its description in RNAcentral is "bacterial SSU rRNA". It matches the Rfam family "Bacterial small subunit ribosomal RNA", at positions 28 to 417 of the family's 1533-position model. The record is from RNAcentral.
GACGAACGCUGGCGGCGUGCAUAACACAUGCAAGUCACGGGGGCCAGCAAUGGCAACCGGCGAACGGGUGCGUAACACGUAAGCGACCUACCUCGAUGUGGGGCAUAGCCGGCCUAACGGCCGGGUAAUUCCGCAUGUGAUCCUUGAGGGGCAUAUCUCGGGGAUGAAACCAGUAAUGGGCAUUGAGAGGGGCUUGCGGCCUAUCAGCUUGUUGGCGGGGUAACGGCNCACCAAGGCGACGACGGGUAGCUGGUCUGAGAGGAUGGCCAGCCACAUUGGGACUGAGAAACGGCCCAGACUCCUACGGGAGGCAGCAGGUGGGGAAUCUUGCGCAAUGGCCUAACGGCUGACGCAGCGACGCCGCGUGAGGGAUGAAGCUCC